RNAcentral lists this ribosomal RNA (755 nucleotides) under uncultured bacterium. RNAcentral describes it as "bacterial SSU rRNA". It matches the Rfam family "Bacterial small subunit ribosomal RNA", at positions 124 to 882 of the family's 1533-position model. The record is from RNAcentral.
ACCUGCCUGAUACCGGGGUAUAGCCCAUGGAAACGUGGAUUAACACCCCAUAGUACUUUUAUCCUGCCUGGGAUGGGAGUUAAAUGUUCAAGGUAUCGGAUGGGCAUGCGUCCUAUUAGUUAGUUGGCGGGGUAACAGCCCACCAAGACGAUGAUAGGUAGGGGUUCUGAGAGGAAGGUCCCCCACAUUGGAACUGAGACACGGUCCAAACUCCUACGGGAGGCAGCAGUGAGGAAUAUUGGUCAAUGGACGAGAGUCUGAACCAGCCAAGUCGCGUGAGGGAAGACUGCCCUAUGGGUUGUAAACCUCUUUUAUAAGGGAAGAAUAAGUUCUACGUGUAGAAUGAUGCCUGUACCUUAUGAAUAAGCAUCGGCUAACUCCGUGCCAGCAGCCGCGGUAAUACGGAGGAUGCGAGCGUUAUCCGGAUUUAUUGGGUUUAAAGGGUGCGUAGGCGGUUUAUUAAGUUAGUGGUUAAAUAUUUGAGCUAAACUCAAUUGUGCCAUUAAUACUGGUAAACUGGAGUACAGACGAGGUAGGCGGAAUAAGUUAAGUAGCGGUGAAAUGCAUAGAUAUAACUUAGAACUCCGAUAGCGAAGGCAGCUUACCAGACUGUAACUGACGCUGAUGCACGAGAGCGUGGGUAGCGAACAGGAUUAGAUACCCUGGUAGUCCACGCCGUAAACGAUGCUCACUGGUUCUGUGCGAUAUAUUGUACGGGAUUAAGCGAAAGUAUUAAGUGAGCCACCUGGGGAGUA